AUCCCUAUGCUGCAAUUGGUUAGACAGGCUAGUCUUAGAAACUAGUGUUUGUGGGUUCAACUCCCACUAGGGAUA
Molecule: transfer RNA, 75 nt
Filed under: Crassvirales sp.
Lineage: Duplodnaviria; Heunggongvirae; Uroviricota; Caudoviricetes; Crassvirales
Description: tRNA-Leu
Rfam family: tRNA
About the family: Transfer RNA (tRNA) molecules are approximately 80 nucleotides in length. Their secondary structure includes four short double-helical elements and three loops (D, anti-codon, and T loops). Further hydrogen bonds mediate the characteristic L-shaped molecular structure. tRNAs have two regions of fundamental functional importance: the anti-codon, which is responsible for specific mRNA codon recognition, and the 3' end, to which the tRNAs corresponding amino acid is attached (by aminoacyl-tRNA synthetases). tRNAs cope with the degeneracy of the genetic code in two manners: having more than one tRNA (with a specific anti-codon) for a particular amino acid; and 'wobble' base-pairing, i.e. permitting non-standard base-pairing at the 3rd anti-codon position.
Source: RNAcentral